Molecule: ribosomal RNA, 497 nt
Filed under: uncultured bacterium
Lineage: Bacteria
Description: partial 16S ribosomal RNA
Rfam family: Bacterial small subunit ribosomal RNA
Source: RNAcentral
GAUGAACGCUGGCGGCGUGACUAAUACAUGCAAGUCGAGCGAACGGACGAGAAGCUUGCUUCUCUGAUGUUAGCGGCGGACGGGUGAGUAACACGUGGAUAACCUACCUAUAAGACUGGGAUAACUUCGGGAAACCGGAGCUAAUACCGGAUAAUAUUUUGAACCGCAUGGUUCAAAAGUGAAAGACGGUCUUGCUGUCACUUAUAGAUGGAUCCGCGCUGCAUUAGCUAGUUGGUAAGGUAACGGCUUACCAAGGCAACGAUGCAUAGCCGACCUGAGAGGGUGAUGGGCCACACUGGAACUGAGACACGGUCCAGACUCCUACGGGAGGCAGCAGUAGGGAAUCUUCCGCAAUGGGCGAAAGCCUGACGGAGCAACGCCGCGUGAGUGAUGAAGGUCUUCGGAUCGUAAAACUCUGUUAUUAGGGAAGAACAUAUGUGUAAGUAACUGUGCACAUCUUGACGGUACCUAAUCAGAAAGCCACGGCUAACUACGUG